RNAcentral lists this ribosomal RNA (433 nucleotides) under uncultured bacterium. RNAcentral describes it as "partial 16S ribosomal RNA". It matches the Rfam family "Bacterial small subunit ribosomal RNA", at positions 29 to 507 of the family's 1533-position model. The record is from RNAcentral.
AACGAACGCUGGCGGCAUGCCUAACACAUGCAAGUCGAACGAGACCUUCGGGUCUAGUGGCGCACGGGUGCGUAACGCGGGGGAACCUGCCCUUAGGUUCGGAAUAACUCCCCGAAAGGGGUGCUAAUACCGGAUAAUGUCUUCGGACCAAAGAUUUAUCGCCUUUGGAUGGGCCCGCGUUGGAUUAGCUGGUUGGUAGGGUAAAAGCCUACCAAGGCGACGAUCCAUAGCUGGUCUGAGAGGAUGCUCCGCCACACUGGGACUGAGACACGGCCCAGUCUCCUACGGGAGGCAGCAGUAGGGAAUAUUGGACAAUGGGCGAAAGCCUGAUCCAGCCAUGCCGCGUGAGUGAUGAAGGCCUUAGUGUUGUAAAGCUCUUUUACCCGGGAUGAUAAUGACAGUACCGGGAGAAUAAGCACCGGCUAACUCCGUG